RNAcentral lists this long non-coding RNA (318 nucleotides) under Brassica napus (rape). RNAcentral's name for it is "long non-coding RNA (BNAP_LNC000169)". Lineage: Eukaryota; Viridiplantae; Streptophyta; Magnoliopsida; Brassicales; Brassicaceae. The record is from RNAcentral.
CAAAACACUGGUUUCAGAUCUUAGAGUUCAAGUUAAAAGAAAUGCAGUGAAGAAAAAUGUAGAAAAUAUGUAUAAAAGAAUCCAUAUUCUGUAUUUCGCCCAGGGUUAUCAUAUUGGUUAAUACGGCAUGAGGUUUCCACUCCAUUCGCUAACUGAAAAACACCCAUGGCCUUCUGCGUCUAAUGACAAAGAAGUCUGAUAGCUCUCGUAUUCUGUCUUCCACCAAAUGUUUUGACUUCCCCAACAGAUUAAGAAGCUCACUUUCCCAUCAGUGCUAACUCUCUCCAUCCUAUCUGUCUGACCAGAACCUGCUCCUAA